RNAcentral lists this ribosomal RNA (374 nucleotides) under uncultured bacterium. RNAcentral's name for it is "bacterial SSU rRNA". It matches the Rfam family "Bacterial small subunit ribosomal RNA", at positions 524 to 898 of the family's 1533-position model. The record is from RNAcentral.
UACAGAGGGUGCGAGCGUUAAUCGGAGUUACUGGGCGUAAAGGGCGCGUAGGCGGUGGAAUGUGAGUGAUGUGAAAGCCCCGGGCUUAACCUGGGAAGAGCAUCGCAGACUAUUUUACUGGAGUAUAAGAGAGGGUGGCGGAAUUUCCGGUGUAGCGGUGAAAUGCGUAGAGAUCGGAAGGAACGUCAAUGGCGAAGGCAGCCACCUGGCUUAAUACUGACGCUGAGGCGCGAAAGCGUGGGUAGCGAACAGGAUUAGAUACCCUGGUAGUCCACGCUGUAAACGAUGAUAACUAGAUGUUGGUUGGGGAACCAAUCGGUAUCGAAGCUAACGCGAUAAGUUAUCCGCCUGGGAAGUACGGCCGCAAGGUUGAA